UACAUACUGUGCGAGCGUUAUUCGGAUUCACUGGGCUUAAAGGGUGCGUAGGCGGCUUGUUAAGUAGGGUGUGAAAGCCCCCAGCUCAACUGGGGAACUGCACUCUAUACUGGCGAGCUGGAGUGAGAUAGGGGUGUGUGGAACUGCCAGUGGAGCGGUGAAAUGUGUUGAUAUUGGCAGGAACGCCGGUGGCGAAAGCGACACACUGGGUCUCAACUGACGCUGAGGCACGAAAGCCAGGGGAGCGAACGGG
RNAcentral lists this ribosomal RNA (253 nucleotides) under uncultured bacterium. Its description in RNAcentral is "partial 16S ribosomal RNA". It matches the Rfam family "Bacterial small subunit ribosomal RNA", at positions 524 to 776 of the family's 1533-position model. The record is from RNAcentral.